UACGUAGGCAGCGAGCGUUGUUCGGAAUUGCUGGGCGUAAAGAGUGUGUAGGCGGUGCUCUAAGUUCGGUGUGAAAUCUCCCGGCUUAACUGGGAGGGUGCGCCGGAAACUGGAGUGCUCGAGCGUGGGAGAGGAAAGCGGAAUUCCUGGUGUAGCGGUGAAAUGCGUAGAUAUCAGGAGGAACACCUGCGGUGUAGACGGCUUUCUGGACCAUUGCUGACGCUGAGACACGAAAGCGUGGAUAGCAAACAGG
RNAcentral lists this ribosomal RNA (253 nucleotides) under uncultured bacterium. RNAcentral's name for it is "partial 16S ribosomal RNA". It matches the Rfam family "Bacterial small subunit ribosomal RNA", at positions 524 to 776 of the family's 1533-position model. The record is from RNAcentral.